GACGAACGCUGGCGGCGUGCCUAAUACAUGCACGUAGGACGCAGUUGCGAACGGGUGAGUAACGCGUAGGUAACUACCUAUGAGAGGGGGAUAACUAUUGGAAACGAUAGCUAAUACCGCAUACUAGUAGAUUGACCUGCGUUGUAUUAGCUAGUAGGUAGGUUAAUGGCCUACCUAGGCAACGAUACAUAGCCUACCGUGGAGGAUGAGAAGUCAAACUGGAAAGGAGACACGGUCCAGACUCCUACGGGAGGCAGCAGUGGGGAAUAUUGGACAGUGGGCGAAAGCCUGAUCCAGCCAUGCCGAGUGUGUGAAGAAGGUCUGCGGAUUGUAAAGCACUUUAAGUUGGGAGGCGUUACCAACAGAAUAAGCACCGGCUAACUGCGUGCCAGCAGCCGCGGUAAUAC
RNAcentral lists this ribosomal RNA (407 nucleotides) under uncultured bacterium. RNAcentral describes it as "partial 16S ribosomal RNA". It matches the Rfam family "Bacterial small subunit ribosomal RNA", at positions 28 to 526 of the family's 1533-position model. The record is from RNAcentral.